AAACUCUUCGGAGGGCGAUCUUGGGCGUCGAGUGGCGGACGGGUGAGUAACGCGUGGGAAUCUACCCUUUAGUUGGGGACAACAUAUGGAAACGUAUGCUAAUACCGAAUAUGCUCUACGGAGUAAAGGUGGCCUCUACUUGUAAGCUAUCGCUAAAGGAUGAGCCCGCGUUAGAUUAGCUAGUUGGUGGGGUAAAGGCCUACCAAGGCGACGAUCUAUAGCUGGUUUGAGAGGAUGAUCAGCCACACUGGGACUGAGACACGGCCCAGACUCCUACGGGAGGCAGCAGUGGGGAAUAUUGCACAAUGAGGGAAACCUUGAUGCAGCCAUGCCGCGUGUGUGAAGAAGGCCCGAGGGUUGUAAAGCACUUUCAAUUGUGAGGAAAGGUUAGUCGCUAAUAUCGGCUAGCUGUGACGUUAACUUUAGAAGAAGCACCGGCUAACUCUGUGCCAGCAGCCGCGGUAAUACAGAGGGUGCAAGCGUUAUUCGGAAUUACUGGGCGUAAAGCGCGCGUAGGCGGACUGUUAAGUCGGUUGUGAAAGCCCUGGGCUCAACCUAGGAAUUGCAUCCGAUACUGGCAAUCUAGAGUUUAGGAGA
RNAcentral lists this ribosomal RNA (597 nucleotides) under Hydrogenovibrio thermophilus. Its description in RNAcentral is "bacterial SSU rRNA". It matches the Rfam family "Bacterial small subunit ribosomal RNA", at positions 64 to 655 of the family's 1533-position model. Lineage: Bacteria; Pseudomonadati; Pseudomonadota; Gammaproteobacteria; Thiotrichales; Piscirickettsiaceae. The record is from RNAcentral.